AUUGUAGAUCUUUCAGCAAUUGAUCUUAGACUGGAAAUACUACUCAGUGCAAGACCAGGUGUGGUAUUUCAGGUGGUUGGAGUGGGGUAGGGGGCUAUUAAGAACUUUUCAGCCUCAUAGAAACAUCAACAUUUCUGUUCUGAUUUCAUCAUUGGAAAAGCUGUAAGUUCUGCUGCUCUCCAGCUCAAGCUUUACAUUUCAGCAGAAUUUGGAACUCAGAGCUGCAAAAGAGAAGCCUGCAUUUGACAAACAUCCAGGAGUGGAAGAAUGUCAGAUUCCUAAUAAGUGGAAAGAAGUAGUCAGUAAAGGAAGAACAAAAUCUCAUCAGGAGUUCAGUGUCGAGAGGUGCUCCAUUGUGUCAGUGCAUAAUAAGCAGUGAAUUGUAUAAAGAAUAGAAUGAGGGCCAGUUUGUAUGACUGAAAACAGAACAUCCUGAAAAUCAAAGAAAUCCUUGUGCAAAGUUUCCUCCCUUCUGCUAUCCAAGCAACUUUAUUUACUGCUAAGGCAGUCGCUCUCUCUCUCUCCUAAAACAUUUCCAAAGGAAGAUAUAAUCUCGAUUUUGAGUUUACCACUGAAAAGGCUACUGCAUCUCUCUUUAUAUACUGUAAAAUAAAAUGUAAAAUGUAAAAUGUG
This is a long non-coding RNA of Rhineura floridana, 633 nucleotides long. RefSeq lists it as uncharacterized. NCBI's taxonomy places the organism in Eukaryota, Metazoa, Chordata, Lepidosauria, Squamata, Rhineuridae. The transcript has 3 exons. The record is from RefSeq and is a predicted model, not a curated record.